This 316-nucleotide ribosomal RNA is filed under the name uncultured Bolbitiaceae. RNAcentral describes it as "partial large subunit ribosomal RNA". It matches the Rfam family "Eukaryotic large subunit ribosomal RNA", at positions 40 to 350 of the family's 3401-position model. Lineage: Eukaryota; Fungi; Basidiomycota; Agaricomycetes; Agaricales; Bolbitiaceae. The record is from RNAcentral.
AUAUUAAUAAGCGGAGGAAAAGAAACUAACAAGGAUUCCCCUAGUAACUGCGAGUGAAGCGGGAAAAGCUCAAAUUUAAAAUCUGGCGGUCUCCGGCUGUCCGAGUUGUAAUCUAGAGAAGUGUUAUCCGCGCUGGACCGUGUACAAGUCUCCUGGAAUGGAGCAUCAUGGAGGGUGAGAAUCCCGUCUUGACACGGACUACCUGUGCGUUGUGGUAUGCUCUCAAAGAGUCGAGUUGUUUGGGAAUGCAGCUCAAAAUGGGUGGUAAAUGCCAUCUAAAGCUAAAUACUGGCGAGAGACCGAUAGCGCACAAGUA